ACCCGCUGAACUUAAGCAUAUCAAUAAGCGGAGGAAAAGAAACCAACAGGGAUUGCCCUAGUAACGGCGAGUGAAGCGGCAACAGCUCAAAUUUGAAAUCUGGCGCAAGCCCGAGUUGUAAUUUGUAGAGGAUGCUUCUAGGUAGCGACCGGUCUAAGUUCCUUGGAACAGGACGUCAUAGAGGGUGAGAAUCCCGUAUGUGACUGGCCCGCACCUUCUACGUAGCUCCUUCGACGAGUCGGGUUGUUUGGGAAUGCAGCUCUAAAUGGGAGGUAAAUUUCUUCUAAAGCUAAAUACCGGCCAGAGACCGAUAGCGCACAAGUAGAGUGAUCGAAAGAUGAAAAGCACUUUGGAAAGAGAGUUAAAAAGCACGUGAAAUUGUUGAAAGGGAAGCGCUCACAACCAGACUUCUAGGCAGUGUUCCGCCGGUCUUUUGACCGGUCUACUCUCUGUCUCGAGGCCAACAUCAUCUGGGACCGCCGGAUAAGACCUUAGGAAUGUAGCUCCCCUCGGGGAGUGUUAUAGCCUCUGGUGAUGCGGCGCGUCUCGGGUGAGGUCCGCGCUUCGGCAAGGAUGUUGGCGUAAUGGUUGUCAGCGGCCCGUCUUGAAACACGGACCAAGGAGUCUAACAUCUAUGCGAGUGUUCGGGUGUCAAACCCCUACGCGUAAUGAAAGUGAACGGAGGUGGGAAGCGUAAGCUGCACCAUCGACCGAUCCUGAUGUCCUCGGAUGGAUUUGAGUAAGAGCAUAGCUGUUGGGACCCGAAAGAUGGUGAACUAUGCCUGAAUAGGGUGAAGCCAGAGGAAACUCUGGUGGAGGCUCGCAGCGGUUCUGACGUGCAAAUCGAUCGUCAAAUUUGGGUAUAGGGGCGAAAGACUAAUCGAACCAUCUAGUAGCUGGUUCCUGCCGAAGUUUCCCUCA
This 921-nucleotide ribosomal RNA is filed under the name Ramularia endophylla. RNAcentral's name for it is "LSU rRNA". It matches the Rfam family "Eukaryotic large subunit ribosomal RNA", at positions 23 to 975 of the family's 3401-position model. The record is from RNAcentral. Lineage: Eukaryota; Fungi; Ascomycota; Dothideomycetes; Mycosphaerellales; Mycosphaerellaceae.